AAUCCGUCGACUUUAGAAAUCGUGAGGGUUCAAGUCCCUCUAUCCCCA
RNAcentral lists this transfer RNA (48 nucleotides) under Cocculus trilobus. RNAcentral describes it as "partial tRNA-Leu". Lineage: Eukaryota; Viridiplantae; Streptophyta; Magnoliopsida; Ranunculales; Menispermaceae. The record is from RNAcentral. RNAcentral also lists the same sequence under 358 other names.